This 1372-nucleotide unclassified non-coding RNA is filed under the name Octopus sinensis (East Asian common octopus). Its description in RNAcentral is "protein mono-ADP-ribosyltransferase PARP14-like, transcript variant X3". Lineage: Eukaryota; Metazoa; Mollusca; Cephalopoda; Octopoda; Octopodidae. The record is from RNAcentral.
CUUCGAAAAUAGCCGAAUGUCAAAAGGAUAUGAAUAAAAUACUUCAGUCAGUUGUAAGAUCGAAACUGGGUUUGCCUUUAAAUACUGGAAUGAUCAUAAAUAAAAAACCAGUGAAAGAAUAUCUUGAUGAAAAACUGAGAAACAAGAAAUGUAUCGGUUCAUGGGAAACGGGUGAUGGUGAUUCAGUAAUACUUUAUGCAAGUGAUAAAACACAUCUUUCACUUUUGGAAGAAAUCAUGAAAGAAACUUUUGUUGCCAAUACACUGGAUUUUGUGGACAAAAUUAAGGAUACUCCAAAUCAUGUAAAGUGGCUGACAUAUGUUGAAAGUCUAAAAGAAGAGAGUCCAGAUUCCUGUUUUUUCGGAGAAAAUUCUAUUAUUGCUGUUGAUGCCGUAGUUGAUUAUAUGAAGAGCAAAAUUGAUAACUUUGAGCAAUCUUUAAUUUACGAAUCUUAUAUAUCGAUGAAUCUUGCACAUUUCCUCUUUCUUAAAGAGUUCAAAGAACAGGAAAUCAAUGACUUUAGUGAGAAAAAUAAAAUUAAGAAUGUGUGUCUCAAAGAUAAUAAGUUACACCUGGAAGGAACACAAAACCAAAUUAGGAAAAUGGAAACAUUUAUAGAAAACUUAAGAAAAGAUAUCAGCUCAAAAGAAGAAAACUUUGAAAUGUUUGGAUUUCAAGAAUUUCUGGAAAAUGAAGAAGGAAAGAAUUUCUUAUGUGAAAUGCAGAAGCAAUCUGAGAGCAUAAUAUCAUUAAAUUCAGAUUUAGGAAGUGAAACAGAUGAAAUAGUUAAUGUUAAGUAUAAGAACUGUGAAAUAGUGUUGAAGGAAGGUGACAUCACGACUCUGGACACAGAUGCUAUUGUUAAUGCUGCAAAUGGCAGACUGGAACACAGGGGUGGGGUUGCAGCAGCCAUUGUGCAGAAAGGUGGGUUUGAAAUUCAAGCUGAAUCCAGUAAAAUUAUGAAAGAAAGAAGGAGUGAACUGAAAACUGGAGAAGUAGUGUCAACUAAUGCUGGUAGACUCAAAUGCAAGACUAUCGUUCAUGCUGUUGGACCCAUUUGGAAUAAUGGAAGGGAUCAGGAAAUUUUUACCUUUCAGUAGCUGUUCAAAAUUGUUUGGCAUUUCUUGAAAAAAAGCCUUAUACAUCAAUUGCAAUUCCUGCCAUCAGUACAGGUAUUUUUGGUAUACCCAUAGAAGAAGGAACCAAAUGUAUAGUUAUAGCUAUAAAGAAUUAUCUUGAUGCUUACUCAAAUUCUAAAAUAAAGCAUAUUUGUCUGAUUGACGUACGGAAGGAAGUAAUCAGAGCUUUUAAGCUUCAUCUAGAAACGGUGUUUGGAAUCAGUAAAAGCAGAGGUAGGACUUAAUUAGACUUU